This 497-nucleotide ribosomal RNA is filed under the name uncultured bacterium. RNAcentral's name for it is "partial 16S ribosomal RNA". It matches the Rfam family "Bacterial small subunit ribosomal RNA", at positions 28 to 507 of the family's 1533-position model. The record is from RNAcentral.
GAUGAACGCUGGCGGCGUGCCUAAUACAUGCAAGUCGAGCGAACAGACGAGGAGCUUGCUCCUCUGACGUUAGCGGCGGACGGGUGAGUAACACGUGGAUAACCUACCUAUAAGACUGGGAUAACUUCGGGAAACCGGAGCUAAUACCGGAUAAUAUAUUGAACCCCACGCCCCCAUCGUCAAAGACGGUUUUGCCGUCACUUAUAGAUGGAUCCGCGCCGCAUUAGCUAGUUGGUAAGGUAACGGCUUACCAAGGCAACGAUGCGUAGCCGACCUGAGAGGGUGAUCGGCCACACUGGAACUGAGACACGGUCCAGACUCCUACGGGAGGCAGCAGUAGGGAAUCUUCCGCAAUGGGCGAAAGCUUGACGGAGCAACGCCGCGUGAGUGAUGAAGGUCUUCGGAUCGUAAAACUCUGUUAUUAGGGAAGAACAAAUGUGUAAGUAACUAUGCACGUCUUGACGGUACCUAAUCAGAAAGCCACGGCUAACUACGUG